GCUUUAUAGUGGAAAAAAGACGUCAAAUUGCAAAUUUGAAGAUGUAUCAGUUACUAAAGCUUU
RNAcentral lists this transfer RNA (63 nucleotides) under Cherax quinquecarinatus. Its description in RNAcentral is "tRNA-Cys". The record is from RNAcentral. Lineage: Eukaryota; Metazoa; Arthropoda; Malacostraca; Decapoda; Parastacidae.